GGCAGGAGAAAAAAGUCCAUUUUUUCUUGUCCCCUAAGGUGAAAAUACACAUUGUUGAGUGUCACGCCUAUACGCUUUGUCAAAAUGACACAAAAAUUGACACACACAUGUAACUCAAUAAGAUCUACGAAAAAGUCAAUGCGUGCGUAUCUGUCAAAUGUACGGUUAAAGGGUUAUUCCGCAUUUUUUGCCGAUCCGCACACAUUGGAAUUUCGUUAACUCCUCCGAAGGCUUUCUGUCCACCGGCACCACAUUUGCUCAGGCCAAUCUACACCCCAUGGCCAUUAAAAGUUAUUCAAAUCAUGACGCUGCAUCCCACGGUUUAGGUUCUAGGGGGCGCCAAAGACAACCCUAAAAUCCACAUAUUUAAAAGUCUUAUAACUUUUUAUUUUUGUCCUCACUGGCCUCCAAGUUUUCUAGGAUGAUGCAAUGUCCAGCCAUCAACACAUUUGUGAAGGAAUUUUUACUCCCCAAAAGAGCGCCCCCCCAUGGCAGGAGAAAAAAGUCAAUUUUUUCUUGUCCCCUAAGGUGGAAAUUCACACUAUUGACUGUCACGCCUGUACGCUUUAUCAUAUUGACACAAAAAUUGACACACAUAUGUAUCUCAAUAAGAUCUACAAAAAAGUCAAUGCGCGCGUAUCUGUCAAAUGUACGGUUAAAGGGCUAUUUUGCAUUUUUUGCCGAUUCGCACACAUUGGAAUGUGGCUAACUCCUCCUAAGGCUUUCGUCCCACUGACACCAAAUUUGCUCAGGCCAAUCUACACCCCAUGGCCAUUCAAAGUUGUAAAAAUCAUGACGCUGCACCCCACGGUUUACGUUCUAGGGGGCGCCAAAGAUGACCCAAAAAUCCACAUUCUUCAAAGAAUCCACCCCCCCCCCCCCAUAUGGCAGGAGAAAAAGUUAAGUUUUUCCUGCCCAUCGCUCAAUGGCUCAAUCGCAUCGCUCUCCAGGCAACACCGUAAGGAGGAGCAACCUGCCAUUUCGAUAUAUCAUAGCUGUGUUUGUGCCCUCACUCAUGGUCCAGACUUUUUUCAAAUAGGACAUGAAGUUUGUCUGCAGCGAGUGUUUUGGUAGAAACUGCGCCUCCCAUUCAUUAUAAUAGGAAAUGACCACAGACAAGUGCGCACACCAUCUUUGGAUCUUGAGUGUGACGCGAUCGGUAGGGGGAGGCGGUCGCACUGGGGGCGGCGCAACAAGGCUCGGGCCCGACAGUGCCCCAACGGGGUCCUAGUUAUUAUUUUUCCUCCCCUUUGAACUGGAAAAUGGCCCACUUCCCACUGGCGAAAACUCAUGAAAUUUGGCAGGACGACCGGGCCCGGUGAAAAAUUUGAUAUUCCGAAGUCGCCCAAACAAGAAAAUGCAAAAUGGCUCCAUAGCGCCCCCUAAGGUGAAAAUUCACACUAUUGACUGUCACGCCGGUACGCUUUGUCAAAAUGACACAAAAAUUGACACACACAUGUAUCUCAAUAAGAUCUACAAAAAAGUCAGUGCGGGCGUAUCUGUCAAAUGUACGGUUAAAGGGUUAUUUCGCAUUUUUUUCCGAUCCGCACACAUUGGAAUUUCGCUAACUCCUCCGAAGGCUUUCGUUCCACCGGCACCACAUUUGCUCAGGCCAAUCUACACCCCAUGGCCAUUAAAAGUUAUUCAAAUCAUGACGCUGCACCCCACGGUUUAGGUUCUAGGGGGCGCCAAAGAUAACCCUAAGAUCCACAUAUUUAAAAGUCUUAUAACUUUUUAUUUUUGCCCUCACUGGCCUCCAAGUUUUCUAGGAUGAUGCAAUGUCCAGCCAUCAACACAUUUGUGAAGGAAUUUUUACUCCCCAAAAGAGCGCCCCCCCAUGGCAGGAGAAAAAAGUCCAUUUUUUCUUGUCCCCUAAGGUGAAAAUACACAUUGUUGAGUGUAACACCUGUACGCUUUGGCAAAAUGACACAAAAAUUGACACACACAUGUAUCUCAAUAAGAUCUACGAAAAAGUCAAUGCGCGCGUAUCUGUCAAAUGUACGGUUAAAGGGUUAUUCCGCAUUUUUUGCCGAUCCGCACACAUUGGAAUUUUGCUAACUCCUCCGAAGGCUUUCGUUCCACCGGCACCACAUUUGCUCAGGCCAAUCUACACCCCAUGGCCAUUAAAAGUUAUUCAAAUCAUGACGCUGCACCCCACGGUUUAGGUUCUAGGGGGAGCCAAAGAUAACCGUAAAAUCCACAUAUUUAAAAGUCUUAUAACUUUUUAUUUUUGUCCCCACUGGCCUCCAAGUUUUCUAGGAUGAUGCAAUGUCCAGCCAUCAACACAUUUGUGAAGGAAUUUUUACUCGGCAAAAGAGCGCCCCCCCAUGGCAGGAGAAAAAAGUCAAUUUUUUCUUGUCCACUAAGGUGAAAAUACACAUUGUUGAGUGCUACGCCUGUAUGUUUUGUCGUAUUGACACAAAAUUUUACAUACACGUGUAUUUACAUAAGAUCUUCGAAAAAGUCAAUGGCCACGUAUCUGUAAAAUGUACGGUUAAAGGGUUAUUUCGCAUUUUUUGCAGAUUCGCACACAUUGGAAUUUCGCUAAUUCCUCCGAAGGCUUUCGUUCCACCGGCACCACAUUUGCUCAGGCCAAUCUACACCCCAUGGCCAUUAAAAGUUAUUCAAAUCAUGACGCUGCACCCCACGGUUUAGGUUCUAGGGGGCGCCAAAUAUAACCCUAAAAUCCACAUAUUUAAAAGUCUUAUAACUUUUUAUUUUUGUCCUCACUGGCCUCCAUGUUUUCUAGGAUGAUGCAAUGUCCAGCCAUCAACACAUUUGUGAAGGAGUUUUUUCUCUUUAAAAGAGCGCCCCCCAUGGCAGGAGAAUAAAGUCAAGUUUUUCCUGUUCAUCAUUCAAUGGCUCAAACGCACUGCUCUCUCGGCAAAAGCGAAAGGAGGAGCAACUUGCCAUUUGGAUAUAUCUUAGCUGUGUUUGUGCCCUCACUCAUGGUCCAGACUUUUUUCAAAUAGGACAUGGAGUUUUUCUGCAGCGAGCGUUUUGGUAGAAACUGCGCCUCCCGUUCAUUAUAAUGGUAAAUGACCACAAACAAGUGCGCACACCAUCUUUGGACCUUGAGUGUGACGCGCUCGGGUGGGGGAGGUGGUCGCGCUGGGGGCGGCGUGACACGGCUCGGGCCCGCCAGUGCCCCAACGGGGCCCUAGUUAGGGCCCGAGCCAGCUGCAGAGCAGCCGGGCGUAGGCCCUGUUAUUCCUGUAGGGGUUUUUCUUUGUUUCUUUCUUUCUUCUUUUUCCUCCCCUUUGAACUGGAAAAUGGCCCACUUCCCACUGGCGAAAACUCAGGAAAUUUGGCAGGACGACCGGGCCUGGUGAAAAAUUUGAUAUUCCGAAGUCGCCCAAACAAGAAAAUUCAAAAUGGCUCCAUAGCGCCCCCUAAGGUGAAAAUUCACACUAUUGACUGUCACGCCUGUACGCUUUGUCAAAAUGACACAAAAAUUGACACACACAUGUAUCUCAAUAAGAUCUACAAAAAAGUCAGUGCGGGCGUAUCUGUCAAAUGUACGGUUAAAGGGUUAUUUCGCAUUUUUUGCCGAUCCGCACACAUUGGAAUUUCGCUAACUC
RNAcentral lists this long non-coding RNA (3581 nucleotides) under Xyrichtys novacula (pearly razorfish). Lineage: Eukaryota; Metazoa; Chordata; Actinopteri; Labriformes; Labridae. The record is from RNAcentral.